CGCAGAGCUGGCAAGGCGCAAAGCCAUCCGCAGAAUACUCACCAGGUUGGCACAGACCUGGGGGAACCGACAGCCCGAGGUGCUGGGUAACACUGGGAAAACUGUGUACCUCCCAUCCCUUUGUCUCCUUAUCUGUGAAGAGGACCUGAUGGAACACAGACUUGUGAGGAGGACGGAAUGAGGUCAGCUGGAAUGAACGUCAAAAUUAUCUAGGAACCAGCCCCUUGUGGACAGUUGCACUUGAUUAUCACUAAGUUAUGGCAAAGCGACAGAUUCAAGUUGUGGCAGUGCUGCUGACAGUUCUCCAGGACAAAGCUAGCCUCUCAGAAAGCUGGGAUUAUAAGCUUGCACCACCAUGCCUAGCUCUAUCGAUGAGAUCUUAACAAGAAAACAUCUCUCUGAGCUUCAUUCUUAAGUGGAAAUAAUCACCCUUACCUGGAAUGAUGAAAAGUGAAAGGCAAAGAAAGAAAAAGCAAGCUGUGAGAAGCCUGGCGCCAUAGUGGCUUUCAGACCAAC
Chinchilla lanigera (long-tailed chinchilla) is the source of this 516-nucleotide long non-coding RNA. RefSeq lists it as uncharacterized. The transcript is spliced from 5 exons. The record is from RefSeq and is a predicted model, not a curated record. NCBI's taxonomy places the organism in Eukaryota, Metazoa, Chordata, Mammalia, Rodentia, Chinchillidae.